Molecule: small RNA, 65 nt
Filed under: Stanieria cyanosphaera PCC 7437
Lineage: Bacteria; Bacillati; Cyanobacteriota; Cyanophyceae; Pleurocapsales; Dermocarpellaceae
Description: Cyanobacterial functional RNA 1
Rfam family: Cyanobacterial functional RNA 1
Source: Rfam by way of RNAcentral
GCGGAGACGAAAGUUUCCGUUCACUCCUCACACCACACUCCGCCCGAGAUCAAAUGCGGGCGGUU